This 1350-nucleotide ribosomal RNA is filed under the name Blondelia inclusa. RNAcentral's name for it is "16S ribosomal RNA". Lineage: Eukaryota; Metazoa; Arthropoda; Insecta; Diptera; Tachinidae. The record is from RNAcentral.
UUAAUAUUUAUUUAUUAAUUUUUUUUUUAAAAAUUUUAUUUUAUUAAAAAUAAUUAUAUAUUUAAUUAUUUUUUUAGUAUUUUAUAAAGAAAAAAUAAUUUUAAUUAUAGUUUAUUAGUAUUGUUAAAGAAAAUUUAAAUAAUUUGAAAAAUUUUUAUUAUAAAAGAAAAUUUAAUUUAUUGUACCUUGUGUAUCAGGGUUUAUUUAUUAAAAAUUAUAUAUUAUAAUUUUUUCGAUUUUAAAAGAGUUAAUAUAUUAUGAAAGUUAUUGUAAUAAAAAUAUUUUUAAUAAUAUAUUAGAAAUGAAAUGUUAUUCGGUUUUAAAGAUAUCUAGAUUUUUAAGAAAUAAAUUUAAUUUAUAAAUUUUAUAUUAUUUAAUUUAAAUAAGUUAAUUAAAUAAUUAUUUUAUUUUAAUAUUUUAUGGGAUAAGCUAUAAAAUAAAUAUUUAAAAAUUAUUAAAUUAUAUUAAUAAAUAUAAAUUUAGAAAUAGUUAUUAUUAAUUAAAAUGUUAUAAUUAAUUUUAUAAUAAAAAUUAUUUAUUUAAUUUUAAAUAUUUAUUAAAAUAUUUAUUUUAAUAAUAAAAAUAAAAAAAUAGUGAUAAAAUUAGUAUAUUAUAAUUUGUAUAAGUUAAAUUAUAUGAAAAGAUUUUUUAAAGAAUUCGGCAAAUUUAAUAUUCGCCUGUUUAACAAAAACAUGUCUUUUUUUAUGAAUAAAAAGUUUAACCUGCCCACUGAAUAUUUAAAUGGCCGCAGUAUUUUAACUGUGCAAAGGUAGCAUAAUCAUUAGUCUUUUAAUUGAAGGCUUGAAUGAAUGGUUGGACGAGAUAUUAACUGUUUCAAAAAAUUUUUUUUUAGAAUUUUAUAUUUUAGUUAAAAAGCUAAAAUAUAUUUAAAAGACGAGAAGACCCUAUAAAUCUUUAUAUUUAAAUUUAUUAUUAAUUUAUAGAAAUUUUUAUUUAUAUUAUAAUUUAAAUAUUUUAUUGGGGUGAUAUUAAAAUUUAAUAAACUUUUAUUAAUAUUUUUACAUUAAUUUAUGAUUAAUUGAUCCGUUAUUAACGAUUAAAAAAUUAAGUUACUUUAGGGAUAACAGCGUAAUUUUUUUGGAGAGUUCAUAUCAAUAAAAAAGAUUGCGACCUCGAUGUUGGAUUAAGAUAUAAUUUAGGUGUAGUUGUUUAAAUCAUAAGUCUGUUCGACUUUUAAUUUCUUACAUGAUCUGAGUUCAAACCGGUUUAAGCCAGGUUGGUUUCUAUCUUUAAAAAAAAUAAAAUAUUUUAGUACGAAAGGAUUUGAUAUUUAAUAAAUUGUUAUUUAUAUAUAUAUAUAUAUAUAUAUAUAUUGAGUAUAAUUAAUAU